Molecule: ribosomal RNA, 858 nt
Filed under: Staphylococcus epidermidis
Lineage: Bacteria; Bacillati; Bacillota; Bacilli; Caryophanales; Staphylococcaceae
Description: bacterial SSU rRNA
Rfam family: Bacterial small subunit ribosomal RNA
Source: RNAcentral
AACGCUGGCGGCGUGCCUAAUACAUGCAAGUCGAGCGAACAGACGAGGAGCUUGCUCCUCUGACGUUAGCGGCGGACGGGUGAGUAACACGUGGAUAACCUACCUAUAAGACUGGGAUAACUUCGGGAAACCGGAGCUAAUACCGGAUAAUAUAUUGAACCGCAUGGUUCAAUAGUGAAAGACGGUUUUGCUGUCACUUAUAGAUGGAUCCGCGCCGCAUUAGCUAGUUGGUAAGGUAACGGCUUACCAAGGCAACGAUGCGUAGCCGACCUGAGAGGGUGAUCGGCCACACUGGAACUGAGACACGGUCCAGACUCCUACGGGAGGCAGCAGUAGGGAAUCUUCCGCAAUGGGCGAAAGCCUGACGGAGCAACGCCGCGUGAGUGAUGAAGGUCUUCGGAUCGUAAAACUCUGUUAUUAGGGAAGAACAAAUGUGUAAGUAACUAUGCACGUCUUGACGGUACCUAAUCAGAAAGCCACGGCUAACUACGUGCCAGCAGCCGCGGUAAUACGUAGGUGGCAAGCGUUAUCCGGAAUUAUUGGGCGUAAAGCGCGCGUAGGCGGUUUUUUAAGUCUGAUGUGAAAGCCCACGGCUCAACCGUGGAGGGUCAUUGGAAACUGGAAAACUUGAGUGCAGAAGAGGAAAGUGGAAUUCCAUGUGUAGCGGUGAAAUGCGCAGAGAUAUGGAGGAACACCAGUGGCGAAGGCGACUUUCUGGUCUGUAACUGACGCUGAUGUGCGAAAGCGUGGGGAUCAAACAGGAUUAGAUACCCUGGUAGUCCACGCCGUAAACGAUGAGUGCUAAGUGUUAGGGGGUUUCCGCCCCUUAGUGCUGCAGCUAACGCAUUAAGCACUCCG